Molecule: RNA transcript, 2163 nt
Organism: Anolis carolinensis (green anole)
Lineage: Eukaryota; Metazoa; Chordata; Lepidosauria; Squamata; Anolidae
Gene: bbln
Gene name: bublin coiled coil protein
Exons: 3
Source: RefSeq, a predicted model, not a curated record
UCUUGCCGGCGGAAGAGGGCGUGGCUUGCGCUUCGCCGCGCUCCAUCCGGGAAUGCGGAAGGGGCGUGGCUUAGCCUUUGGCCAGGUGACCCAGGGCGUCUGGGGCUCCAGGUGAGAGAUGUCGGGGCCCAACGGGGAGACGCACCUGAGCCUGGGCCCGGAGGAGGAGGACGACGACGACGACGACGUCAACGGGGAGGCAGCAGAGUAUGCAGCCAUCAAUGCCAUGCUGGACCAGAUCAACUCCUGCCUGGACCACUUGGAGGAGAAGAACGACCACCUUCACGCCCGGCUCAAGGAGCUGCUGGAGUCGAACCGCCAGGCCCGGAUGGAGUUUCAGCAACACCUGAGCGAAGGAGAAGCCCAGGAGGCCGAGGCCCAGAGACCCGGACUGGACUCUUAACGCCGGGCUCAGCCCUCUCUUCCGGAUCAACGAUAAAACUCCCCAAAUCGAGACGGUGCUUCAUGGCGACGACGACGUGUUUUUCCCCCAGGCCUUCCCAUCUCUAGCCUUGCACGAAGCACAAGGAAACGGCUGGCUUGUUUUUCCCAAUUUAAUUUAACAAAGCAAAAAAACUCCAAGAAAACUAGAACAAUCCUUUUUUUCCCCCUUUCCUCUAAAAAGUAGAAGGCAAGGGCUGGUCUCCUUCCUCGGAGAAAUCUACACAAAGAGAAAAAAAAAAAAAACCUGCACACCUGCAAAAAAUCUUCUUAUCUGGCCUGACGUCUUGCGCUGCGCCUGAUGCCAGAGUCCGAGUCCUCGUCCUCAUCGUCCGGAAAGGACAAUUCGCUUUCGUUCCCUUGGUCUUGGUCCUCGAGGCAGUCGUCGUCAUCGUCGUCGUUCCCGGCAUCGGCUUCGUCGGCCUUCGGAGAAGCAUCUCCGCAGGGCUCAGUUUGCAGUCCGCACUGUCCGGAAGCAUCUGCCUUGGUCGAGACGGCACCCGCGAGGCUUAUUCUUCCGUCGUCUGCAACCUCAACAGUUGGGGUGAUGCCGUGCGUAUCCUCGCCGUCCCUUCCCGGGGAGAUGUUAGCAAAGCCAGGCUCCGCUCUGGAAGCAACACAGGUUUCCGCCUGGAUCGUAGCUUCCUUUAUGGGACUCGCUGCUUCCGUUUUAGCAACGGCUGCCGAUUGUCGGUUGUGCGAGGCGUCUUUCACAAGGAGGGAGGCGGCCUGGAGACGCAUAGCUUUGUACCUCUGCAAAGAGGAGAAACAAGCCAGGGUUACUAACAGUGACAAACUUCGGCCUUCCCUCCAGGUUUCAUUUAUUUAUUUAUUUAUUUGCUGCAUUUAUAGACCGCUUUUCUCACCCCUGGGGGGACUCAAAGCGGUUUACAACAUAAUGGCAAAUGCCAACCAUACAUUAGAAAACAUAACAGACUGAUCAAAUCAUAAACAAUAAAAUGAACAACAUCGAGUGUACUUAUCGAACAGCUGUGGCGCAGCUGGCUAGUUACCAGCUGCUAUAAAUCACUACUGACCGAGGGGUCAUGAGUUCGAAGCCCGGGUCGGGUUAAGCCUCCGACCAUUAAUAGCCCCGGCUUGCUGUUGACCUACCAUGUUUCCCCGAAAAUAAGACAGUGUCUUAUAUUAAUUUUUGCUCCCAAAGAUGCUCUAGGCCUUAUUUUCAGGGGAUGUCUUAUUUUUCCAUGAAGAAGAAUUCACAUUUAUUGUUGAACAAAAAAACUAAACAUUUAUUAUAUACUGUUCUGUAGUUGCCAUCACAAACCAGCAUAACCAGACAAACAGUGAAUCCUAUCAAGAAUUUCUUGUUACUACCAUUAUUUCCAUGUACAACACUCUAUGGUAUGUACAUUUACCGAUCCUUUGUUAGGUCUUACUUUCAGGGGAGGCCUUAUAUUUAGCAAUUCAGCAAAACCUCUACUAGGUCUUAUUUUCUGGGGAUGUCUUAUUUUAGGGGAAACAGGGUAGCAGCCCUGAAAGACAGUUGCAUCUGUCAAGUAGGGAAAAUUUAGGUACACUUUAUGCGGGAGGCUAAUUUAACUAAUCUACAACACCAUAAAACUGCCAGCAAAACACGAGGAAAAGAAUGAGGAAGUACAGCCACCAAUGGACAGUGAAGCAACAGCUCCCCCUGUGGCCGGAAUCGUGAAGCUGGAAAGAUGUUAAAAAUGCCUCUGUGUCUGUAUAAAUAACUGAAUGUUG